RNAcentral lists this ribosomal RNA (503 nucleotides) under uncultured bacterium. RNAcentral's name for it is "bacterial SSU rRNA". It matches the Rfam family "Bacterial small subunit ribosomal RNA", at positions 15 to 518 of the family's 1533-position model. The record is from RNAcentral.
GAUUCUGGCUCAGGACGAACGCUGGCGGCGUGCUUAACACAUGCAAGUCGAACGGGGAUAGUGAUAGAGAGCUCGGCAGGAAAUUGAUAAUCGAGUGGCGGACGGGUGAGUAACGCGUGAGCAACCUGUCCCAGACAGGGGGAUAACACUUGGAAACAGGUGCUAAUACCGCAUAAGACCACGGGAUCACAUGGUUCUGGGGUAAAAGGAGCAAUCCGGUUUGGGGUGGGCUCGCGUCCGAUUAGCCAGUUGGCGGGUAACGGCCCACCAAAGCGACGAUCGGUAGCCGACCUGAGAGGGUGAACAGCCACAUUGGAACUGAGAGACGGUCCAAACUCCUACGGGAGGCAGCAGUGGGGAAUAUUGGGCAAUGGGCGAAAGCCUGACCCAGCAACGCCGCGUGAGUGAAGAAGGCCUUCGGGUUGUAAAGCUCUGUUAUAGUUGACGAAGGAAGUGACGGUAGGCUAUAAGGAAGCCCCGGCUAACUACGUGCCAGCAGCGGC